GAUGAACGCUAGCUACAGGCUUAACACAUGCAAGUCGAGGGGUAGCAGGGUAGCAAUACCGCUGACGACCGGCGCACGGGUGAGUAACACGUAUCCAACCUUCCCCUAACUCGGGGAUAGCUGUUUGAAAGAAAGUUUCAUACCCGAUAGUACUUUUUCAAGGCAUCUUGAGAAAGUUAAAGAUUUAUUGGUUAUGGAUGGGGAUGCGUUCCAUCAGAUAGAUGGUGAGGUAACGGCUCACCAAGUCUUCGAUGGAUAGGGGUUCUGAGAGGAAGGUCCCCCACAUUGGUACUGAGAAACGGACCAAACUCCUACGGGAGGCAGCAGUGAGGAAUAUUGGUCAAUGGGCGAGAGCCUGAACCAGCCAAGUAGCGUGAAGGAUGAAGGUCUUAUGGAUUGUAAACUUCUUUUAUAGUAGAAUAAAGUGAUCCACGUGUGGAUUUUUGUAUGUAUACUAUGAAUAAGGAUCGGCUAACUCCGUGCCAGCAGCCGCCGUAA
RNAcentral lists this ribosomal RNA (498 nucleotides) under uncultured bacterium. RNAcentral describes it as "partial 16S ribosomal RNA". It matches the Rfam family "Bacterial small subunit ribosomal RNA", at positions 28 to 523 of the family's 1533-position model. The record is from RNAcentral.